This is a long non-coding RNA of Syzygium oleosum, 254 nucleotides long. RefSeq lists it as uncharacterized. NCBI's taxonomy places the organism in Eukaryota, Viridiplantae, Streptophyta, Magnoliopsida, Myrtales, Myrtaceae. The record is from RefSeq and is a predicted model, not a curated record. The transcript has 2 exons.
UCAUAAUUCGGAGUGUUGUCCUUCCUUCAAUUUGCGAUCCACACAUAUUUGGUGAUAUUUUUCGUUUUGUAUUUAUCUCAGAUUGCUUCGCAUGUUUUUAUUGUUGUUAUGAAAGCUCCUGUAGUGCUUCCAACAAUAUUUUCACCAUCUAGCAAGGAACGUGCAAUUCUUCUUUCAUAUAUGUAGAAUUGUAUUUUCAGUUUGGAUCCACAUGAUUGUCCAAAUUAUUUUAAAGGCUACAAUUUAAAAUUUUA